This 406-nucleotide ribosomal RNA is filed under the name uncultured bacterium. RNAcentral describes it as "partial 16S ribosomal RNA". It matches the Rfam family "Bacterial small subunit ribosomal RNA", at positions 30 to 526 of the family's 1533-position model. The record is from RNAcentral.
AUUGAACGCUGGCGGCAGGCCUAACACAUGCAAGUCGAGCGAGCGGCGGACGGGUGAGUAAUGUCUGGGGAACUGCCUGAUGGAGGGGGAUAACUACUGGAAACGGUAGCUAAUACCGCAUACCAUCGGAUGUACCCAGAUGGGAUUAGCUAGUAGGUGGGGUAAUGGCUCACCUAGGCGACGAUCCCUAGCUGGUCUGAGAGGAUGACGAGCCACACUGGAACUGAGACACGGUCCAGACUCCUACGGGAGGCAGCAGUGGGGAAUAUUGCACAAUGGGCGCAAGCCUGAUGCAGCCAUGCCGCGUGUGUGAAGAAGGCCUUCGGGUUGUAAAGCACUUUCAGCGAGGAGGCGUUACUCGCAGAAGAAGCACCGGCUAACUCCGUGCCAGCCGCCGCGGUAAUAC